GUUUAUAAGCACUUUGGUGGAACAAUUCCCGCUCUCAUUUGAGUUGUUGUAUUGUUGAAGUGAGACCAUUUUCAUUUAUAAUAAGUAACAGAAUGUCAGAAGUUACUCAAUCUAGUAGUUCAGAAAUGCCCAGCAUUGAUGUACCUGGUAAAACGGAUACAGAGUUCAUGAUGUCCAUUGUGAUAAUUUCUACAGCUGACCUUGCCAAGAGUAUGAAGGAAGCACUGCUCGAAUACCACAAAGCUCACGAGGAGCGAUAUAAACUCUAUGUCCAUGUUUCAGAGAGAGUGAAACGGCUACUGAGUAACUUAGCCGUGCAUGUGGAUUACUACAUAAUCUUGGCAGAUCCGAGACGAGCUGAUGCUGCAGAUAAAAUCAAAGAAGACUUGUUGCAUCUCAGUCCUGUGUUUCUGGCCACCGGUCGGUGUGUGAUAGCUGUGUCGUGGCCAGAGGGAAUACCACCACACCUGGUUGCGACGUGCUCGGCAGAAGUGCAUAAUGUCUGCAGAGACAAGAUGCUGCACAAACUAGUUCAGCGAGAAGAGGGCCCUGCUGGGAAGAUUGGAACAACACCUCUGAAUGGAAUCUUACAUGGAAAACCCCGCUUCACACCCCCCUCAGAUUUAGUGAUAAGAUAGCCUGUGAAGAAGGUGUACUGAACUGUAAAAAAGAAAAGCAAAAUAAGAACAGUGAACGGUCCAAGAACAAGGAAAGCAAUGAAGAGCAGGUCAAAACAGCAACGGCAUCAUGGAAGCACCUUGCCGAAAGACUUCUACGCCUUGCCAGGACUGCUCGAGGGCUGACUGGUUCUGGAAUACCAAAUGUCACAGGCUGCUUCAACCCUGGCCACUACUGGCAUUCCUCAGCUGGAGCAACAGUAAUGCUACCGUCAUGGGGUGUUGGUGGUGAUGGUUAUGAUAGUGACCAAUGACAAAAUAAUUCCCCCCCCCCCUUGGGGGGGGAUCUUGGAGAAGUGUAAAUAGUUGGGAAAACUGAGGAUUUACUACAAAUAGGUAUAAUUUAUGCUCAAGUAAGCUGUAAUUUAUAAUUCAUUUGUGUAAACAAUAUAUACAGACAUAUUUCUUCUACAAAACAAUUACACUAUUAUACAGAGAGUGUGAAGAUACUAACAACAUUCUGUGCACUUGUUUCUCUAAACACUCCUUUUAGCAACUCAGCAGUUUUCCCUGUAAUGUCAGCUGUUUCUGCUUUAUUUUUUAUUUUUUUUUUAUUUUCUGUAGUUCUCAUUAUGGUAAAAAUAAUGAAGCUGCUGAGACACCAAAAUUACAUAUUUAUAGAAACAAUAAAUUAAUCUGAUUUGCUAACAAGUGUAUAAAUUUACCUUGAUUGACAACAGGCUGGAAUUUCAAUACAAUUCUUUCAAGAGUGGCUUAAAACUAAAGGCAGUCUUAAAGUUUGAGAAAUAUAUAUUCAUACAAAAUAUACGGAAAUUUCAUCACAAGUAUGUACGAAAAUGAUUAAAAAUACUGAUUUCUACAAACACAGUCUCUUGUAAAUUUUGAAUGUUUCCCUGUUUCUGCUUUGAAAUCCCACAAGAUCAGUGAAGUUGGUUGGUAAAGACGGGUCAGUCUGCGCUGGAGAGACCCGAGUGGCAGUGUGACAAUGCAAGGCAUUCAGCCAGGUCGCAGCAGUGGCCCGAACUAAACAAAAUGCAGUGAAACUUUCUCCUGGUCCCCAAAAUCAAUAUUGUAUAAAAUGUACAGUACCAAAGUGUAAAAGAUUCCAAAGCUUCGUGACAUUGUGAUAAAAUAUUACAACUUACCACAAGCCUGAAAUUUAACACUCUUCGCACACUCUACCUAAAAAGCAUCAUUUCUUUAUUGCACAAAAGUGCAGCAACAUUUUGUU
Schistocerca piceifrons (Central American locust) is the source of this 1869-nucleotide RNA transcript. RefSeq lists it as uncharacterized. The record is from RefSeq and is a predicted model, not a curated record. The transcript is spliced from 5 exons. Lineage: Eukaryota; Metazoa; Arthropoda; Insecta; Orthoptera; Acrididae.